Molecule: RNA transcript, 3013 nt
Organism: Sphaerodactylus townsendi
Lineage: Eukaryota; Metazoa; Chordata; Lepidosauria; Squamata; Sphaerodactylidae
Gene name: membrane-spanning 4-domains subfamily A member 12-like
Exons: 6
Source: RefSeq, a predicted model, not a curated record
UUUCCCUUGAAGAGUGCUGGAGCGGAGCAGCCAGGUCAAACAAGCUGUCAUCCUUGCUCAGCCUGUGGGGCUGAUGCAGCUGAGUAUUCAGUUGCUAGUGACCCUCUAGGCUUUGGAGUAAGCACACCAGCUAAACCCAUGCAGGGAAUGGGGACCAUCCGGCUGGGGCGAAGAGCUGUGAUGUACACAGUGGAAACCAUUCCUAAAGGGAAGAACCGAGUGUUGGGGACCAUCCAGAUCAUGACUGGCUUCAUACAUAUUAGCUUUGGGAUCAUUCUCAGCACCUUGACCAGUGUAUAUACCUCAUUCUUUGUGUCUGGAGAGAUCCCCUUCUUGGGAGGAGCAUCCUACAUUGUCUCUGGAUGCCUCUCCAUUGGUGCUGAGAAGAGCCCUACUGAAUGUGCAGUGAAGGGCUCCCAAGCCAUGAACAUCAUCAGUGCCAUCUUUGCAUUACUUGGAAUACUGACUUUUAUAGUAGAUCUGAGCAUAAAUGGGCCAUUUUACUCUGAAGAUAGCCAUCACUAUUCCUUGGUCAUGGCAACAUGCAGAAUCUCCUGCAAGAGCAUAAGUCCUCCUUGGUCCCUCUCAGCACUUGCAGAGGAGGCGGUAGACUGUGCAGGGCCUCAAACUGCAUUGUCUUGCUGUGAUGCCACAGGCAGGCAUGCCGCCAUGAAGGGUGGGGUGAGGGCUUAGCUGGGCCAGCCCCCAGUGGGACACACUUGAGAUGAGUGCAGGAAGAACCAUCUUGCUGAACAGAUAGAUGAAGCAAGCAGUGACUGUUCUCACCGCUCCUGUCUAUCUAGGGUAGGCAGUGCAGGCACACAUAGCCAGCUGUUCAGGGUGACUCUGCAGGCUAAUACGCUAGCUUUCUAUCCCUCCUCUCCAUGGUACCAUCAGGGCAGAGCUAGAGUAUCUAUCCUUCAACUGCUGCACAUGCAAAACUUCCCUGACAUGGCCAUCAUAUUUAUCCUGGGCCCUGAUUUCUCUGGUGGAAAGAUAGCCCCAGCAGGAAGUUUCUAAACUGUAUUUGAUGAAGUCUUGAGAUCUCCUCUUGAGGUGAUAGUAAGGCACUGCUGCUCAGCAUGGCCAGAGAAGGGGGUAAGGAGAACUGGGAGAGAAAGGUGAGGUGCAGAGUCUGAAAUAAGUCAGAAGCAGACAGGGUGCAGCAGAUACCAACAUGGCCCUCUCUCAUUUUGGUGCUUCUUUGGUCCUAUGGCUGCUUCUUUUGUUCUGUGGCUCCAGGCAUCUCCAGCCCUUCCUUGCUCCACUCUCCUACACUGGGCAUUGGAUGGUGAUGAUGGAACAGCAGCAGAGGAAACAGUUGGCACUUGCACAGGGCUAAGAGAAGGAAUGAAAAGACGGGUGGUGUGUGGGCAGUGGCUUCCAUUCAGCCUUUAGAAGAAAAACACAUAGGAAAUAAGAGGUCCAACUCUCAUCUAUGCUGCCAUUUUCCUCAAAAUGUGGCAUCCUAGGUGAUUGCCCGGGAUUUCCUGAUAGUCCUGCCAAUUCUGACCAAGAAUGUGUUCAUCUUUUUAUGAAAGGCCUACAGAGAUGGCAUAACACUCACUUCCUGGGGAAGGGAAUUCCAGAACUAUGGAGCAAUUACCCCUGCAUGGGUUUCUGCCAACCUUAUCCCCAACAAGUUAUGUUCUCAUAGGAAGAAUGCCUCUGUUGUUAUUAAAGCUCAAUGUAGGAGAUGCCCCGCUGAAUCUCCUACAUUCCAGAAAUAAAACAGAUUUCAUGAGAUUGUACAUAUAGAAUAGGAUCAUGAGUAUUUGUGACAUAUUUCACUAACUUUGGGCCCUGGUGCCUAACAGAAGUUAGCCACAUGGAGACUAUGCUGAACCAGCAUGAGUGGUAAAUUUUGCACAAAUCCCACCUGUGCUAUCUAGUACUACCUUCUUGUUGCAAAACUUGCUGAACUUCCAGCUUGGUACUUCAUGUGAACUUCUCUGUGGAGGAAGAUGCUCUUAAGGACUGGGGUUGCCGUGCAAUUCCAUGUCUUUCCUCCCCCCGGGCUCCUUUUCCAGUGUUAUUUCCUCCAGACCUUCUUCUGCCCUCCUUAACCUCUACUGAGGUUGACUGUGGUAAAUGCUAGCAACUAGUCCUCUCACUUAGCUCUCACUUAACCCAACUUCAAAUUAUGGUUUCACAUCCUAGUUGAGAGGGGUCCAAUGCAGGGUUACUAGCUCCAGGUUGGGAAAGGUCUGGAAGUUCUAGGAGUGGAGUCUGAGGAGGGUGGGGCUGAGGAAGGGAGGGACUUCAAUGGGGAAUAAUUCUAUAGAAUUCAUCUUUCAAAGAGGCCAUUUCUUCAUGUGAACUGAUCUCUGUUGCCUGGAUAUCAGUUGUGAUAGUGGAAGAUCUCCAUCUACCACCUGGAAAUUGACAACUCUAUCCCAAAGUGAUUAGCACCAUGGAAGAAUUCCAUUACAAAUCUUGAAAGGUUCCUCCCUAGGUUGGGGACUGAUUGUGCUGGGAACAACACACAGUUUCCCCCUCUUUUUCUUACUCUUACUUGCAACCACAUACCCAUUAUCAAAUAACUUGCAUAUUAAAUACUGGAAAAAAUAAUGUUUGCUCAAGAAAAACAAUCCAGACUAGGAAGAACAUUUUGAAACAGAGUAGCAUCUGCUGUUAGCAGCUUGACACCCACACAAAGCUGAUUUCCACCAGGGCUGAAUUCUGCCAUUGUAAAAAAACAAAAAGAUGCCUCUGCUGACAUGUGGUUUAUAUCCUGAAAGAUAUUUUUGGUGCAUUCAAUUUGCAGAAAAAUAUAUGUAUAAAUCUGGGCAGCCUGGGAGAAAAUAUCUAUUUCAAUGUGUUCAAUGCUUGUAAUAUUCUUAUAUGCUUUCUUUGUGGAGUAGACGGGCAACAGGAUUGCCAUUGUGUUGCUGUCAUUCACUAUCCUGGAAUUUGGCAUCGCAUCUGCCACUGCCUAUUUUUGGUGCCAGGCAACCCGUUCUGACUCCAAUGAGGCCAUAUUGAUUGAACCAAACACUAUCAGGACAGAUGC